Molecule: long non-coding RNA, 2246 nt
Organism: Neodiprion fabricii
Lineage: Eukaryota; Metazoa; Arthropoda; Insecta; Hymenoptera; Diprionidae
Exons: 3
Source: RefSeq, a predicted model, not a curated record
GAGGGGAUCUGAAGAUGCGUGGAUCGAUUUCGCAAGAUUUUUCUGUGCGUCUUAUUCAAAGGAGGAGAUUACACGAACUUUUUGACCCGAGCCGUCCGUCGAGUUCACUCUCUUCGCUUUGUGUGUUCCGACCUGUCUUCCGGAGUGCCGAUUCGCACUCCGUUCGAGCCUAUUCAGAAACAAUCGAACGACGAAUUGCAAGAUUUGAAAGUUUUACCUCGGCCGUAACGUCUUCCGUCUAAAUUUCUCGAAGUAGAAAAUACCCGCCCACCAAUUUGCAGAAGUGUGACAUGUACCCGCUACCGCAGCCGCUAGGGUUUCUUUUCUUCGGCACAAAACGGCGUUUUGUCAAAAAAAUAGUUUCUUUCACGUCCGACAGGCACCAAUGAGCGGCGUGGCGAUACGUUCCUACCACCCUAUAGAUGAGAUCUCGACGCGGUGCAAACGGUGGAGAAAAAUGAAACGAAAAGAUUGGCAAAGUCGCCAACGCGCGGUUGGAAGAGUACAAGCAAGGUAUAAGUUGGCUCUGUACACAGCAGCAGCUGCAGAGCGAGAAGAGGAAGCAGGGAAGAAGAAGAACAAGAAGAAGAAGAAGAAGAAGAAGAGGUUGGUGCAGAGUAUUGGUAUGUUGAAAGGUGGAAAGGAAGAGAGAAGCAAGGCAGAGAGGUAAGGAGGAAAGAUGGGAGCGCGGAGAGAAAGAGGAAUAUUGUAAAGUCGAUUUGGCGCACGUGGAAGGAAUCGGGAGAUUUUCAUGCAGCACCGAAAUACGGACAAUUUAUUUCCAGAGACGAAGAUACGCCUCGCGUGACGGACGAGAGUUGCAGCGAGGUGCAGCGGAGGUGGAAAAGCGUCCGCCUCCGAAGAUUCUUGAAAAGCUCGAUCCGCGAUCCGCUCGAAUGGCGAAGCCGGAGGCGCCGAUCGCGGGUUUAAUGACGAUAAGAUCUCUUAUACUGUCAUUACGUUAGUCUUUUAACGAGGCCGCCUCGCCCCGGCGCUAUUCAUAUUUUCCUCAAACCGGUUGGGGAAGAAGGUGAGAUCAGUUAAGCUCGCCUAAAGAGGGAUGCGGGAAAGAGGAAUAAAAGAGCGUUGCAGAGGACGGAAGAGAAGUGACUGGCAUCGAGGAGGAUAAACUCCCUGUAAUUCAUAUCUUCACCGAUUCCGUGUUCGUAAAUUUAUGGUAAACAGCGAUCGUGAAGUGAGUGAAGAAAUUUCAUUAGCUUAAUUUGAAAAACCGUAGCUUGUACACGUUUAUUUAACAUCGUUUCAGACGAAUAUUCGAACUUGUUUUUUUCAUCUAGACGGCAAUCAACUGAAUUAACAAUCAUCGUGGGUAUUAAUUCUGUCAGAUGUUAUGCUUGAUGAAUAAUCUGGUCGUAAAAUAUACGGUGAAACGAAGAUCAAACUGUUUUCGAUGAGCACGCGGUUCGGUUAGAUUCAUAUCUACCCUGGAAGUGAAGAAAAAAAAAUAUCCUUCCGGAUGCUACGUAAGCAGAACAGGAAAUCGAUCUGCUGGAAAAAAAUGACUGAGUUUGUUAGCGAAAUGGCUUUGAAUUACAGCUGGCGUACUUGACGUAAUUAUUUUCUUGCCUUAUUAAAAGUUGUAAUAGACGUAAAAGCGGUUUUAUUUCGUUACUUAUUUUAUUUAUUUCGUUUACUUGGUAGAACUUGGUUACAGCAUGUGAAGUAAUUACUGGAAUCAGUUGAGUGAAUCAACUAUUGAAAUCUUGUUUAUUUAUAUAAGAAAUAAUAGGCAAGCGACAAUCUAUUCUUGAGAGUCAUUCGCUAUCGUUUAUUUCAAACGAUACGGUUAAACGCAGGAACGGUUGCUAAAUUGAUUGCUUUAUUUUUUGCAACAAUUAUAACAGUAUUGUAAUUAUUACGAUGAUCAGAUACUUGGGCAAUUAAAGAAUGACCCACUUUUAACUGACAUACAAAUUGUCAUAAUGUAAAUCAGUUUCUUUUAAGAUAAUUCAGAUAGAAAUUCGAAAGUGCAGACGUGAAAAUUAAUUCAGACUAGAGAUGAAUAGAAAAUUCUUUGCCCGUUACCAAAUCCAUAACUACGUGAAAUUGCCUGUUAUUAUUAUUGUCAUCUUCACAUCAGCACGGCUUCAUUUCGUUUCAUUUUGAAGCCUAAUUAAUUUUGACGUUUACUCAGAAAUUGACAUAUUUUUACCACCUCUCAAGACAAACUUGAAAUAUUAUUCGAGCAAAACGAAAAUUGAAAACGAAGAGAAAAUGUCCUAUAA